GCGAGGCAGAGGGAGUCCUAAGAGGUAUUGGGGAGAGGAUAUUAGGCAUGACAUGGCUAGAAUGCGGGUUUCCGAGAACAUGGCCCUUGAUAGGAAAGUCUGGAGGUCUAGUAUCAGGGUUGUAGGAUAGGGGCUCCUAGAGUUUUUGGUACUGCUCACCCGGGGUUGGGUGAGGCUUGGCAGGGCUAUCCAUGGAAGAUUUGUGUUUUGAAUUGUGUCUCCCUUAUGGUAGUUAUU
This 237-nucleotide long non-coding RNA is filed under the name Nicotiana benthamiana. RNAcentral describes it as "long non-coding RNA (NBEN_LNC003568)". The record is from RNAcentral. Lineage: Eukaryota; Viridiplantae; Streptophyta; Magnoliopsida; Solanales; Solanaceae.